GCAAAAGUAUUUAUUAAAGAAAUAAAAUUGCCUGCACUUGGAUUAUGGAUGGUGAUAUGGUUUGGAUUUGCUGCUCUACCCAAAUUUCAUGUUGAAUUCCAAUCCCCAAUGUUGGAGAGGGUCCAGGCAAAUAAACAAAUGACUGCUGAUUGGAGUGAUUGAUACUGACAACCAAGGAGAAAUUGGGCUACUACUCCACAGCAGAGGUAAAGAAGAGUAUGUCUGUAAUACAGAAGCUCCCUUAAGGGAUCUCUCAGUAUUAUCAGUUCUUGUGAUUAAGGUCAUUA
RNAcentral lists this long non-coding RNA (287 nucleotides) under Homo sapiens (human). RNAcentral's name for it is "HSALNT0057429". The record is from RNAcentral. Lineage: Eukaryota; Metazoa; Chordata; Mammalia; Primates; Hominidae.